Molecule: ribosomal RNA, 621 nt
Filed under: uncultured bacterium
Lineage: Bacteria
Description: bacterial SSU rRNA
Rfam family: Bacterial small subunit ribosomal RNA
Source: RNAcentral
CCUACGGGAGGCAGCAGUGGGGAAUAUUGGACAAUGGGCGCAAGCCUGAUCCAGCCAUGCCGCGUGUGUGAAGAAGGCCUUCGGGUUGUAAAGCACUUUUAUCCGGAAAGAAAAGCUUUGGGUUAAUACCCUGAAGUCAUGACGGUACCGGAAGAAUAAGCACCGGCUAACUUCGUGCCAGCAGCCGCGGUAAUACGAAGGGUGCAAGCGUUACUCGGAAUUACUGGGCGUAAAGCGUGCGUAGGUGGUUUGUUAAGUCUGAUGUGAAAGCCCUAGGCUCAACCUGGGAAUUGCAUUGGAUACUGGCAGGCUAGAGUGCGGUAGAGGAUAGUGGAAUUCCCGGUGUAGCAGUGAAAUGCGUAGAGAUCGGGAGGAACAUCUGUGGCGAAGGCGACUAUCUGGGCCAGCACUGACACUGAGGCACGAAAGCGUGGGGAGCAAACAGGAUUAGAUACCCUGGUAGUCCACGCCCUAAACGAUGCGAACUGGAUGUUGGGUGCAACUAGGCACUCAGUAUCGAAGCUAACGCGUUAAGUUCGCCGCCUGGGGAGUACGGUCGCAAGACUGAAACUUAAAUGAAUUGACGGCUGAGACGNGCGAGGCGACGACGAGGGGAGGAGG